UGUGGGUAAGGAAGGAAUUCAUUAAAGCAAGAGUAGAAGUGAAUGGCGGCAGCACCCACAGGCAGCAGAGAGCACGGGAGAGCAGAGGGAGGGGAGGGAAGCUCUCUGAACCCCUGCUCAGCAUAGGGCAGAUCCCUGGCCAGCUCCUGAAGCCAGGGUCACCUGGUGCCCAGUGUCCACUUGACUCUGCAUGGCAUGGGAACUAAGUCCUGCCCACCCCAGGAUUUGGGGGAGCCAUGGAGCACUGGAUGGAGUGAGUUCAUGUUCUAAGAACUUCCACUUCUAUAUUCUCUGUAGGACCUUAAACACUUCUUUACACAGAUACUAAUCCAGCUGAUUAGCUCACUCAACAUCAAUUUUAAUCUCCUUGUAUAAUCCUUCAAGGCCGAAAAGUUAAAUUUUUCAGUGUGGCUCUGUUACAUGUUUAGAACUGGCAUGCAACAAAGAGCACAAUCUAAUCCAUUGCAUUUAAGAAUUGGUUGUGGUCUAGAAAGAAAGAAGUCAAUGAGUAGGAACAAGUCAGUGUGUCUUUGGCAUCUUACAGGAGAUGGUGAUGAGAUAAGAUAAACAGCUUCCUUUUAAAGGUAUGAUUCUGUAGGUUACAGAAUACACAUUAAAAUAGCUACGUAGUUGGCAGCUGUGUGGUGAGUACUUUAUAUACACAAAUCCAUUUUCUUCUCUUACCCUACUUUCCUAAAAGUUGAUUUUAUAGAUGAAGAGGCUAUGGUUCAUAACGGGUAGUGACAUAGCCCAGGUCUUUUAGCCAGCAGUUCGCAAAGCCAGGAUUCUCUGGCUCUUGAAUGCUAUGUGCAAAAUCUCAAAUGGCAAGUUACAUUAUUUUGACGUCUACAAGGAACUUCCUUCCAGGAAGAGAAUGAAUUAACCAACUGACAUUAAUAUUCCAGUCUUCUUGUCAACCACAGUUCUCUGAAAAAUGAAAACUUGUGUCUGGUUGUAAAACAGUCCUUUAUGAGUUGGGAUGGCAUGAUUUUCCCAACCUCAUCCACUCCCUCAAACCUGAUACAUUGACUAGGCAAAUUUCAGGAACCAAUGAAGUUAAGAGACAUACGGAUCCACCAGAGCGCUGCCCUGCUGGUGGUGGGGACCUCUCCCCGCUGGACAGCUCCUCUUUUCAUAUCCUGUCUUUUCUAAGGCCACAACCCCCAUUUCUUUUUCUCUUCCCUGUCUUUCAGAGGCUGUUGUGGUUUAUGCAUGAGGCUUUGGGGUGUUCACUGUAACUGCACGACACAGAUUUUAAGCUAUUUUGGUGGACACAAUCUAAUUAUAUGAGCCCUUGAAAGCAGAGAUCUUUUUCUGGCUGGAGUUUGCAAGAAAGAUGCAAUGAAAGAAGGAGUCAAGGGCAUGUGAUGGACAGGAGAUUUGGAUAGAUAAGGCAGAAGGGGAAGCCAGAAGAGACAUUCAAGGCAUUAGAAGUGCUCAGCCAGCCAUUGCUAACUUUGGAGAUUGAGGAAGAAGACCAGGACUAGAAGGUCAAUGGAAAAAAUGAUGCGAUCAGCUUAAUUGGGACCUAAAGGCAUUUGAAGAAACCAAAAAUGACUGCUGAAGAAUUCUGAAGAAAAAUGGAGGUGGGAAUUCUGUGUUGCAGACACUGUUGCCUACCCAGCAUUCAAUCUACCCCUAACCCCUUGUUUCUAACAGGCACCAUCCUAAUUGGUUCAGUUCUUCACCCUUCUGUUUACUCAGAGAAUGUGAGCACACCCUCCCUAGCUUCAGACAGUGAAUCAUGAUUAGGUUCUAUCUAACAGAUAUCAGAGGUAUCUAUAUCUAUAGACACCAGAGGUCUCUUUUCCUUUGCCACGCAUGAGAUUUUCUCAUUUUUCUCAUAUUUAUGACACUUUUAGUUAGCCUUUUGUUUUUCUCACUUUUAUGAUGCAUUUGGUUGGACUUUUGUUGUUUGUGCCCACUGUGUUGAUACAUUCUCAUAACACAGUUAAUUAUAAAAUCAAAGCAAAAGACAAAACAUGAAAAGCAUUCCCAUUAAAUUUGGAAGCAACAAAAGGAUACCUGUUUUUUAUUAUUAUUUAGCAUUGUCUUAUAAGAAUUAGCCAAUAGAAAUAGAAAACUAUCAUUAUUUGCAGAUGAGAUGAAUAGACAACUGGAAUAUUUUAAAUUCUGAAUUGUAAAACUGUUAGAAAAAAAUUAAUGUUAAUAAAUUUAACUGAAUACAAAUGUAUAAAAUGAUAAAUAAUUUGGACAAAAACAUAAGACAAACCCAAUUACAACAGCAACAAAAACAAUAAUAAUCAAAAUUCCUAGAAAUAAUCUCAAUAAUACCUUAUCUAUAGAAAAUUAUCACUUUGAAAUAAAGGUUACAAUAGAUUUAAUUAAAGGGGUAUGUACUUGUUCUUAGUUUGGGAGUUCAAUUUUGUAUAAAAGAUAUGUCAUCCCAAUCAAAACAGCAAGAGAGUAUUUGUGAAUGACAGGAUUAUUCUAAAGUUUAGGUGAAAGAAGAAGCAAAUGAAAAUAUCUGAAGAAAUUCUGGAAGAGUGAUGAAGGAGGGUUUAUUCUACUUCAUAUUAAAACAGGUGAUACAGUUAUGGUAAUUAUAAGAGUGUGAUACUGGCACAGAGACUGACUCUUUAGUGAUACAGAGAAAAGUCCAUAAUUAGACCAAAAUAAUUAUGGAAACAUAAUAAAUUGGCAUCUGGAGAGAGGAGGUUGAUUAAUCAGUGAACAAUGUGUGAUCAAAUGGUUCACUAUUUUGGAAAAAAAAAACUGGAUCUCUGUAUCAGCAUAUAAAAUACAUCCUAAUGAAUAAUAAUUCAAAUGUAAUAUUGAAAAUAAUGUUCUUAAUUUAAGAUCACAGUGUUAAUUUAUAACACCGAAAUUCUCUUAAACAUAAGAAAAGGACAAAUCAUUGUUUCCAUACAGGGGCGGUCAUUCUCAAAGCCACUGUGGUGAACGGGAAUGAGUGCUGACUGUUUUGCCGUGGACCAGGAUUAGAACCAGACCAGAUGCCUGGGGGAGAGUGGAGACCUCCCAGGCUGUGCUCUGCUGCCGGGGACGGUGCCAAGCAGGUGAAGCCAGGCAAAGAGGAUCUGCCACCCGCCAGCAAAUGAACAUGAGCUGAGGGCAAGGGAAAACAAGUGCACCUGGUUUAGGAAAAAAUGUCAUCUUUAGAGGGUCAGAAGUUUUGAGCUUUGAAAUGCUAACUGAAGUCAUGUCCAGUGUGUUAAGGGCUAAGGCCUUCUUGAAACCAUUGUAGGUUUUUGGACACAUGCUAAAGAAACCUUCCUGUGAAGAUAAAUUACAGUUAAAAAUUACAAAGCAGCUGAAGGAAAGUAUCACCAUAAAAAGCAAAUGAUAUAUUCAGAACAUAGAAGCACUUAAAACUCAGGGAAAUCAUCAUAAUAGAAAACACUAAAGACUUUAAAAUAAGUAUUUUUAACUUUUUCUGAGUUAGUGAAUGAGAACCAAAAAAAAAAAAACAAGAC
Manis pentadactyla (Chinese pangolin) is the source of this 3455-nucleotide long non-coding RNA. RefSeq lists it as uncharacterized. The record is from RefSeq and is a predicted model, not a curated record. Lineage: Eukaryota; Metazoa; Chordata; Mammalia; Pholidota; Manidae. The transcript has 3 exons.